GACGGAGGGUGCAAGCGUUGUUCGGAUUUACUGGGCGUAGAGCGCACGCAGGCGGCUAUGUAAGUCGGAUGUGAAAGCCCCUGGCUCAACCAGGGAACUGCAUUCGAAACUACAUGGCUUGAGUUUGGGAGAGGGAAGCGGAAUUCCUAGUGUAGAGGUGAAAUUCGUAGAUAUUAGGAGGAACACCGGUGGCGAAGGCGGCUUCCUGGCCCAAUACUGACGCUCAGGUGCGAAAGCGUGGGGAGCAAACAGG
Molecule: unclassified non-coding RNA, 253 nt
Filed under: uncultured Pseudobdellovibrionaceae bacterium
Lineage: Bacteria; Pseudomonadati; Bdellovibrionota; Bdellovibrionia; Bdellovibrionales; Pseudobdellovibrionaceae
Description: uncultured Bdellovibrionaceae bacterium contains 16S-23S intergenic spacer region
Rfam family: Bacterial small subunit ribosomal RNA
Source: RNAcentral